UGUGUAGGCGGGCAGAUAAGUCAGACGUGAAAUCUAAAGCUUAACUUUGGACCUGCGUUUGAAACUAUUCGUCUUGAGUACGGGAGAGGAAAGUGGAAUUCCUGGUGUAGCGGUGAAAUGCGUAGAUAUCAGGAGGAACACCGGUGGCGAAGGCGGCUUUCUAGCCCGAUACUGACGCUGAGACACGAAGGCUAGGGGAGCAAACAGGAUUAGAUACCCUGGUAGUCCUAGCGGUAAACGUUGGGCACUAGGUGUUGUCCCUUAACCGGGGCAGUGCCGCAGCUAACGCAUUAAGUGCCCCGCCUGGGGAGUACGACCGCAAGGUUGAA
RNAcentral lists this ribosomal RNA (329 nucleotides) under uncultured bacterium. RNAcentral's name for it is "bacterial SSU rRNA". It matches the Rfam family "Bacterial small subunit ribosomal RNA", at positions 568 to 898 of the family's 1533-position model. The record is from RNAcentral.